GCAGCAGUGGGGAAUCUGCACAAUGGGGGAAAGCCUGAUGCAGCACCGCCGCGGAACCAAGAAGGCGUCAGGGUGGUAAAGCGCUGAAUCCGGUAAGAACGUAAACCCGAUCAUCCCGAGGGAAUGACGGUACCGGAAGAAUAAGCACCGCUACACCG
This 158-nucleotide ribosomal RNA is filed under the name uncultured bacterium. Its description in RNAcentral is "partial 16S ribosomal RNA". It matches the Rfam family "Bacterial small subunit ribosomal RNA", at positions 348 to 503 of the family's 1533-position model. The record is from RNAcentral.